Molecule: ribosomal RNA, 1063 nt
Filed under: uncultured Bacteroidales bacterium
Lineage: Bacteria; Pseudomonadati; Bacteroidota; Bacteroidia; Bacteroidales
Description: bacterial SSU rRNA
Rfam family: Bacterial small subunit ribosomal RNA
Source: RNAcentral
AACGCUAGCUACAGGCUUAACACAUGCAAGUCGAGGGGCAGCAUCGCGAUAGCUUGCUAUUGCGGAUGGCGACCGGCGCACGGGUGAGUAACGCGUAUCCAACCUUCCCGCAACUGGGGAAUAACCUUGCGAAAGUAAGACUAAUACCCCAUGGUCUCCAUAGAAGACAUCUGAAAUGGAGUAAAGGUUCCGGCCGGUUGCGGAUGGGGAUGCGUCCGAUUAGCUUGACGGCGGGGUAACGGCCCACCGUGGCAUCGAUCGGUAGGGGUUCUGAGAGGAAGGUCCCCCACAUUGGAACUGAGACACGGUCCAAACUCCUACGGGAGGCAGCAGUGAGGAAUAUUGGUCAAUGGGCGGAAGCCUGAACCAGCCAAGUAGCGUGAAGGACGACUGCCCUAUGGGUUGUAAACUUCUUUUAUGCGGGGAUAAAGUUCGCCACGAGUGGCGUUUUGCAGGUACCGCAUGAAUAAGGACCGGCUAAUUCCGUGCCAGCAGCCGCGGUAAUACGGAAGGUCCAGGCGUUAUCCGGAUUCAUUGGGUUUAAAGGGAGCGUAGGCCGCCUUUUAAGCGUGUUGUGAAAUGUAGGGGCUCAACCCCUGCACUGCAGCGCGAACUGGAGGGCUUGAGUACACACAAAGUAGGCGGAAUUCAUGGUGUAGCGGUGAAAUGCUUAGAUAUCAUGAAGAACCCCGAUUGCGAAGGCAGCUUACUGGAGUGUAACUGACGCUGAAGCUCGAAAGCGCGGGUAUCGAACAGGAUUAGAUACCCUGGUAGUCCGCGCGGUAAACGAUGGAUGCCCGCUGUUUGCCAAUUUGGUAAGCGGCCAAGCGAAAGCGUUAAGCAUCCCACCUGGGGAGUACGCCGGCAACGGUGAAACUCAAAGGAAUUGACGGGGGCCCGCACAAGCGGAGGAACAUGUGGUUUAAUUCGAUGAUACGCGAGGAACCUUACCCGGGCUUGAAUUGCAGGAGAACGAUCCAGAGAUGGUGAGGCCCUUCGGGGCUCCUGUGAAGGUGCUGCAUGGUUGUCGUCAGCUCGUGCCGUGAGGUGUCGGCUUAAGUGC